Molecule: ribosomal RNA, 466 nt
Filed under: Vreelandella stevensii
Lineage: Bacteria; Pseudomonadati; Pseudomonadota; Gammaproteobacteria; Oceanospirillales; Halomonadaceae
Description: partial 16S ribosomal RNA
Rfam family: Bacterial small subunit ribosomal RNA
Source: RNAcentral
CCUACGGGUGGCUGCAGUGGGGAAUAUUGGACAAUGGGCGAAAGCCUGAUCCAGCCAUGCCGCGUGUGUGAAGAAGGCCUUCGGGUUGUAAAGCACUUUCAGUGGGGAAGAAAGCCUUGGGGCUAAUACCCUCGAGGAAGGACAUCACCCACAGAAGAAGCACCGGCUAACUCCGUGCCAGCAGCCGCGGUGAAUACGGAGGGUGCGAGCGUUAAUCGGAAUUACUGGGCGUAAAGCGCGCGUAGGCGGUCUGAUAAGCCGGUUGUGAAAGCCCCGGGCUCAACCUGGGAACGGCAUCCGGAACUGUCAGGCUAGAGUGCAGGAGAGGAAGGUAGAAUUCCCGGUGUAGCGGUGAAAUGCGUAGAGAUCGGGAGGAAUACCAGUGGCGAAGGCGGCCUUCUGGACUGACACUGACGCUGAGGUGUGAAAGCGUGGGUAGCAAACAGGAUUAGAUACCCGUGUAGUC